RNAcentral lists this ribosomal RNA (236 nucleotides) under uncultured Staphylococcus sp. Its description in RNAcentral is "partial 16S ribosomal RNA". It matches the Rfam family "Bacterial small subunit ribosomal RNA", at positions 104 to 334 of the family's 1533-position model. The record is from RNAcentral. Lineage: Bacteria; Bacillati; Bacillota; Bacilli; Caryophanales; Staphylococcaceae.
GGGUGAGUAACACGUGGAUAACCUACCUAUAAGACUGGGAUAACUUCGGGAAACCGGAGCUAAUACCGGAUAACAUAUUGAACCGCAUGGUUCAAUAGUGAAAGGCGGCUUUGCUGUCACUUAUAGAUGGAUCCGCGCCGUAUUAGCUAGUUGGUAAGGUAACGGCUUACCAAGGCAACGAUACGUAGCCGACCUGAGAGGGUGAUCGGCCACACUGGAACUGAGACACGGUCCAG